AUAAAGUUUUAUUCUAGCUUAUUUAAUUAAUAUUUGUAUUUUUUAUAUAUAAAUUUUUGUAUGUUAAUAAUUUAAAUAAUUAUUAAAAUUAAUGUAGUAAUUAUUUUUAUAUAUUAAAUAAAUUUAGAUUUAGAAAUAUAAAUUAAUAUUAACAAAAUUUGUGCCAGCAGUUGCGGUUAUACAGAUAAUAUAAUUAAUUAUUUUUAGUUUAUAAUAAAAUGUUUAUAAUUUAAUUAUAAUAAUAAAUUUAAUAAGUGAAAUUUUAAAUUUAUAAAAAUUUUAUUUAUAAGAUUUGAAUUUAUUAAAUUUAAAAUUAAACUAGGAUUAGAUACCCUAUUAUAUUAAAAGUAAAAUUGUUACUAAAUUAGUAUUAGAUAUAUUCUUAAAAAUUAAAGAAUUUGGCGGUAUUUUAAUCUAUUCAGAGGAACCUGUUUUAUAAUUGAUAAUCCACGAUUUUUAUCACUUACUUUAUUUAUAAUUUGUAUAUCAUCGUAGUUGAAUAUUUUAUAAAAAUUAAUAUUCAUAAUUUACUAUAAAAAAUUAAAUCAGAUCAAGGUGCAGUUUAUAAGUAAGAUUUAAUGGGUUACAAUAAUUUAAAUUAUAUGGAUAUUUAAUUUAAAAAUUAAGUUUAAAGUGGAUUUGAAAGUAAUUAAAUUAAAUUUAAUUUAAUGAUAUUAGUUCUAAAAUAUGCACAUAUCGCCCGUCACUUUCAUUUAAAAUGAAAUAAGUCGUAACAAAGUAGAUGUAUUGGAAAAUGUAUCUAGUAUUCA
This 770-nucleotide non-coding RNA is filed under the name Staphylinidae sp. 1 EF-2015. The record is from RNAcentral. Lineage: Eukaryota; Metazoa; Arthropoda; Insecta; Coleoptera; Staphylinidae.